Telopea speciosissima is the source of this 124-nucleotide long non-coding RNA. RefSeq lists it as uncharacterized. The record is from RefSeq and is a predicted model, not a curated record. NCBI's taxonomy places the organism in Eukaryota, Viridiplantae, Streptophyta, Magnoliopsida, Proteales, Proteaceae. The transcript has 3 exons.
ACCCCAGGCCUUCUUGAAUUGUAGAAACGAAAAGCUAAAUUGAUUUCCAUGCUUGAAGAGGUAUUCUAUUUGAUUCCUUUUCAUCUUAUUUUUACUCCCAAUUUCUCUCAUACUAAUAGAAAUC